Molecule: long non-coding RNA, 1405 nt
Filed under: Mus musculus (house mouse)
Lineage: Eukaryota; Metazoa; Chordata; Mammalia; Rodentia; Muridae
Description: long non-coding RNA chr4:98056352-98057757
Source: RNAcentral
UAAGAAGACCAGGACCUGACAAUGGCUUGUAAACAAGGCACAAAGAGAUCAGUGACUGACCGGUUCCCUGCAGACGUGAGAGGGUGUGAGGACUAGAACUUCUGAGUCUAUACCAGGUCAAACCCAGGCCUGGCCUAUACUUUUAUUGAGAUUAUUAAGAUUUUAUUGAACAUAGUUUCACCAUUUUGCUAAUAGCAUGUCUGUAGCAACUUCUGCAGCACAGAGUAGAAUAUUGCCACAGACCUUCAACAUAUCUAUUCCGCCAGCAUUUCUCAACCUGUGAGUCUCAACCACUUUGGGGACUGACCCAUCCUUUCAAAAGGAUUACAUAUCAAAUAUACUAUAUGACAAAUAUUUACAUUAUAAUUUUAUAACAGUCACAAAAUUACGUUUAUGAAGUCGCAACAAAAAUAUCCUUGUGGUUAGGAUUCACCACAAUUUGAGGAACUGUACUAAAGGGGCACAGCGGUAGGAAGUUUGAGAGUCACUGAUCUCCAGACAGGGCGUCUCCAUCAUGCUGGAGACCAAAACCCAGAGCUUUGGAAAAACACAGAACAUUUUCCUCCAUAGGCUGUGAUGUACUGCUUGUUUGGUUGGUUGGUUGGCUUUGUGUGUGAUAUGGGGGAGUGGUCACCUAGGAGCCACAGCCUGCCUGCAAAGUUAAGAGGUCAACUUCGUGGAGUCAAAGGAAACAGUUAAAAUUAAUUAAAAUUGAUAAAGAAUAUAAAACAACUUUGGCCUCUCUUUGUUGGAGGAGAGGAGAUCUGUUUUUUUUCCAAGAAAUGAACACUCUGAUCUUCAAGUGUUGUAGUCAAAAAGACGGCUUAAAUUCAAGUAGACUCACUCAACAUCUCCAUGUUGGGACAAUGCAGUCGCUUACUGUUACCGCAUCUGAAGCAGUCGUACAGAAAUACUGCCGUUUCGCAGAGCAUCACGAAAUGUGAGGCUUUCCCCCCUGUGCCUUUCACAUGCUUCUCGGUGACACUCAAGGUAUGGACUGAGAGUCUUGGAAAAAUCUGAAGAGCCUUAGCUUGCUUUGAGUCGCAUGCUUUGUUACUUAGGAAAGGCUCAGCCUCCUAAGUGCCGAGUAGCAGUUCCAAUUCCUCCCUCCCUCUGUCUGUUAACAUAAAUCACGCAGCUCCAAACUUCUCGGCUUUCGUAAAUGGCAGGCCUGAUUCAUGCAUGAUUUAUCAAUUAUAGCUGUGGGCCAUUAGGAUAGAUUUCUCAGCUUCAGGUAGGCUGCUUUCGGGGUUGUAGGGGUUGGUUUAGAAUUUCUAAAGAAGCUCGGUAGUUGACAACCCAAACAAUAUAACUUCCGAUUGCCCUUGUUGGGGGCUUUUUGGUUUUAAGUAGGAUUUUUUUUUUCUUAUAAUUUCUUCUCCUUUUGGAGCUUUGCCUUGGUAUC